This 45-nucleotide non-coding RNA is filed under the name Schistosoma mansoni. The record is from RNAcentral. Lineage: Eukaryota; Metazoa; Platyhelminthes; Trematoda; Strigeidida; Schistosomatidae.
AUCCAGCUAACGAGUCCCAAAUCGGAUGAAACGCGCGUCCUGGAU